This 1506-nucleotide ribosomal RNA is filed under the name Triticum aestivum (bread wheat). RNAcentral's name for it is "partial small subunit ribosomal RNA". The record is from RNAcentral. Lineage: Eukaryota; Viridiplantae; Streptophyta; Magnoliopsida; Poales; Poaceae.
AUGGAGGGAGAUGGUGACACUGUGACGGCGCCGUUGCUGGAGUUCAUCGAUGACCGGUCAGCUGCCUCGGAGGAGCUGCUGCGGCGGGAGCCGGUGCCAUUCAACGUGCUGUCGCGGCUGGCAUUGUGGGAGGCCGGCAACCUGUGGCGCAUCUCAUGGGCGUCCAUCCUCAUCACGCUCUUCAGCUUCACUCUCAGCCUCGUCACACAGAUGUUCGUUGGCCACCUUGGUGAGCUGGAGCUUGCCGGGGCCUCCAUCACCAACAUCGGCAUCCAGGGCCUAGCCUAUGGCAUCAUGCUCGGCAUGUCGACUGCAGUGCAGACGGUGUGCGGCCAGGCCUACGGUGCGAGGAGGUACAGGGCGAUGGGCGUUGUUUGCCAGAGAGCGCUCCUCCUCCAGUUUGUGACGGCCGUCGCCAUCACUUUCUUCUACUGGUACUCUGGCCCAUUCCUGCGGCUCAUUGGGCAGGCUGAGGACGUGGCUGUGGCGGGGCAGCUGUAUGCUCGUGGGCUGGUGCCGCAGCUGCUCGCGUUUGCACUCUUCUGCCCGAUGCAGAGGUUCCUGCAGGCUCAGAACAUCGUCAACCCCGUGGCGUACAUGGUGCUUGCUGUGCUUGUCUUCCACAUCCUCAUCUCGUGGCUCGCUGUCUUCGUUCUCAGCUUUGGCCUUCUCGGCGCGGCUCUGACGCUGAGCUUCUCUUGGUGGGUGCUUGUGGCGUUGACAUGGGCGUACAUCAUCUGGAGCCCGGCUUGUAAGGAGACGUGGACCGGGUUGUCCAUGCUCGCUUUCAGAGGCCUCUGGGGAUAUGCCAAGCUCGCCUUUGCGUCGGCUGUUAUGCUAGCAUUGGAGGUCUGGUACGUGCAAGGAUUUGUGCUUCUGACUGGCUUCCUCCCCAACUCGGAGAUUGCUCUUGAUUCACUCUCUAUCUGCAUCAACUACUGGAACUGGGACUUCCAAAUCAUGCUUGGUUUAAGCUAUGCGGCCAGUAUCCGCGUCGGCAACGAGCUUGGCGCUGGCCAUCCAAAGGUCGCGAGGUUGUCGGUCCUGGUGGUCGUCACGGCGAGCAUCGCCUUCAGCAUUCUCGCCACGAUCGUCGUCAUGGCCCUCAGGUACCCGCUGAGCACCCUCUACACGAGUAGCACGACGGUGAUUGAGGCUGUCAUUGCACUGAUGCCGUUGCUGGCCAUCAGCAUCUUCUUGAAUGGGAUCCAGCCAAUCCUCUCAGGAGUGGCCGUCGGGAGCGGGUGGCAAGUCAUAGUUGCCUAUGUCAAUGUCGGGGCUUACUACAUCAUCGGUCUGCCAAUCGGAUGCGUUCUAGGGUUCAAAACAAGCCUGGGAGCAGCUGGGAUCUGGUGGGGCUUGAUCAUAGGGGUCGCAGUGCAGACGGUGGCACUGAUCGUCAUCACGGCCAGGACCAACUGGGAGAGCGAGGUGGAGAAGGCGAUCCAGCGGCUGCGGCACACCGCCGCAGACGAGGGUGGCAUGGUGGUCGACGGCGACGUCUAA